GUAGAUAAUAGAAAGGAGUUUUUUUUCCUUACGUUUUUUUUCUCUUUAUUUAUUUUUAUUUUUAUUUUUUUGUGGGAAUGGAAAGCUGUUAAUUGGUGACCGUAUUCAUCGGUUGUGCCUUUAAUGCUGGUACAUAUUCUCACCUCGUCGAUUCGUUUAAACAAAGUGAUUUCAUUCCACAUCAAGAGAGCCAUCCAAGUCCGACACCCCCAUCGAAUCAGCAGGACGAAGACUCGUUUUCUUCACUUCUUGAGGUAAAGAGAGCAUGGCGAAUGGAGCUCCAAGUUGGGCGGAUCAGUGGGGCGCUGGCGGACUGAACGACGACGACGACUACGACGACAAGAACAAGGAGAGCGGGAAAGACAACAAGAAGAUGGAGAAGGCGAAGGCGUUCGCUUCUUCGAGCUUCGGGAAGGCUAAAGCGGCUGCAGCGGUUGGAGCAAGCAAGGCCAAGAGCGGCACCACCACGGGCAUCAAAUGGAUGAAGGCGCAGUACCAGAAGAGAACGUCUAAAUGAAUGGAUCGCCCAUCGCUAUUAUGACACCCAUGAUAACUGAUGAUAGACAUGAUUUUCCUUUCUUUUAAACCUCUUUUGGAGGAUGCCACCUUGUUUGUUUCAUAAUCUCCAUCAAACAUUUCUGGUUGAGUUUAAUUUGCUUGCUUGAUCUUAUUUCAAUGCCUGGGUGGAAUUUUAACAUCAACACUGCACCCACUUCAACGCUCCCCCUUUCUUUCAUCCUUCCGUCGCCGGAAAUGGAUACAAAUUUAUUUUAUUUUAUUUUAUUUUAUUUUCUGGCUAAAUAAAAAGCGACUGAGCAUUGUGCACAUGUAAAGGGAGCAAGCCAUUAGUUACGUCAAUUCUUCUUCUAGGAAUAUCAUCGAGCAUGUCGUGCUCCAACCUUGCCCCGAUGUGGGCUUCUUCGGCGAAUCCGCCCCACCUCGAUCGCUUCUCCCCUAUCGCCUUCUUCUCAGCCUUGCGCCUCCCAUCUGCCGGCGCCUCGACGCGGCGAUUUCGUUCCGCCACCACUAUAAGUUGCGGCUUACGCGAGCUGAGGAAUCGCAUCGACUCCGUCAAGAACACGCAAAAGAUCACGGAGGCCAUGAAGCUGGUGGCUGCCGCCAAGGUCCGCCGUGCCCAGGAAGCCGUCGUCAAUAGCCGCCCCUUCUCCGAGACCCUCGUCGAGGUGCUCUACAGCCUCAACGAACGGCUGCAGACGGAGGACGUGGACGUGCCCCUCACCCGAGUCCGCCCCGUCCGGAAGGUCGCCCUCCUGGUGGUCACUAGCGAUCGUGGCCUUUGCGGCGGCUUCAACAACGGCAUCAUCAAAAAGGCGGAACAGCGCAUCGCCGAGCUGUCCGCCCUUGGCAUAGCUUACACAGUUAUCAGCGUGGGGAAGAAGGGCGGCACCUACUUCCAACGCCGCCCUUACAUUCCCGUCGAUCGCUUCCUCGAGGCGGGCAACCUGCCUACCACUAAGAAGGCGCAGGCCAUUGCUGAUGAGGUAUUCUCCCUCUUCGUCAGCGAGGAGGUCGACAAGGUAGAGCUUCUCUACACAAGAUUCGUUUCCCUCGUCAAGUCUGACCCCGUCAUCCAAACUCUCCUCCCGCUCUCCCCAAAAGGCGAGAUCUGCGAUGCCAACGGGGUCUGCGUUGACGCCGCGGAGGACGAGUUCUUCCGCCUCACCACCAAGGAGGGGAAGCUCACGGUGGAGCGGGAGACGGUGCGGAUCCCAACGCCUUCCUUCUCUCCAAUCAUGGAGUUCGAGCAGGACCCGGUGCAGAUCUUGGACGCCCUGCUGCCUCUGUAUCUCAACAGCCAGAUACUGAGGGCCCUGCAGGAGUCACUAGCGAGUGAGGUUUCGGCGAGAAUGGCUGCCAUGAGCAACGCCACUGACAACGCCGUGGAGCUGAAAAGGACGCUAGCCAUCUCCUACAACCGGGAGCGACAGGCGAAGAUCACCGGGGAGAUAUUGGAGAUCAUUGCCGGUGCGGAUGCUCUUUCCUGAUCUGUUUGUUCCAUGGAUCAAGACUCCAUUUCUCUCUUGUCCUGUCUGGCCUUGCAUCUUCUUAUGCUGUGAAAGAAAAAGCAGGGGAAUCAGGAAUGACGAUUUUCCGGUGUUCGACAGAGGCUGAGCAUGCAGGAAAUUAUUGAUAAGAAUGAGAGAAUAAAUUUAUUUCUAAAUUUUAUGUUUAAUUGAUGGGAAUGAAAUCUUGAGUUUA
Zingiber officinale is the source of this 2220-nucleotide RNA transcript. It is a transcript of the gene named ATP synthase gamma chain 1, chloroplastic-like, with no coding region annotated. The record is from RefSeq and is a predicted model, not a curated record. The transcript is spliced from 3 exons. Lineage: Eukaryota; Viridiplantae; Streptophyta; Magnoliopsida; Zingiberales; Zingiberaceae.